This 535-nucleotide ribosomal RNA is filed under the name uncultured delta proteobacterium. Its description in RNAcentral is "bacterial SSU rRNA". It matches the Rfam family "Bacterial small subunit ribosomal RNA", at positions 16 to 523 of the family's 1533-position model. Lineage: Bacteria; Deltaproteobacteria. The record is from RNAcentral.
AUCCUGGCUCAGAACGAACGCUGGCGGCGUGCCUAACACAUGCAAGUCGUGCGAGAAAGUCACUUCGGUGGCGAGUAGAGCGGCGCACGGGUGAGUAACACGUGGUAACCUGCCCUCGAGUCUGGGAUAACCCGGGGAAACUCGGGCUAAUACCGGAUACGGCCGUGAGGUCUUCGGAUCUUGCGGAGAAAGACGGCGCUCCUUCGGGAGCUUUCACUCGAGGAUGGGGCCUGCGUCCCCAUUAGCUAGUUGGUGAGGUAACGGCCCACCAAGGCAAAGAUGGGUAGCUGGUCUGAGAGGAUGGCCAGCCACACUGGAACUGAGACACGGUCCAGACUCCUACGGGAGGCAGCAGUGGGGAAUUUUUUUGGGCAAUGGGCGAAAGCCUGACCCAGCAACGCCGCGUGUGGGAUGAAGGCCCUCGGGUCGUAAACCACUGUCAGGAGGAAAGAACGGCCGGCCGGAUAAUACUCGGUCGGUUUGACGGUACCUCCAAAGGAAGCGCCGGCUAACUCCGUGCCAGCAGCCGCGGUAA